CAAUAGCGUAUAUUAAAGCUGUUGCGGUUAAAAAGCUCGUAGUUGGAUUUCUGUCAAGGACAACUGGUUCGCCCUCCGGGUGAGCACAUAGUUUGGUCUUGACAUCUUGCUGGAAGCUGUUGCUGCACUUGGCUGUGUGGCGCAGUGUUCAGCACUUUCACUUUGAGGAAAUUGGAGUGUUUCAAGCAGGCACAUGCCUUUGGACACAGUAGCAUGGAAUAAUUAGAUUGGGCUUUUGCUCCAAUUUGUCGGUUUCUGGAGCUGAGGUGAGUAUUAAUGGGGAUUGUUGGGGGCAUCCGAAUUUAGCCGUCAGAGGUGAAAUUCUUGGAUCUGCUAAAGACGGACAACUGCGAAAGCGUUUGCCCAGGAUGUUUUCAUUGA
Molecule: ribosomal RNA, 381 nt
Filed under: uncultured eukaryote
Lineage: Eukaryota
Description: partial 18S ribosomal RNA
Rfam family: Eukaryotic small subunit ribosomal RNA
Source: RNAcentral